AAUAGGGUAAGCUAAGACUAAGCUGUUGGGCUCAUAACCCAAAAAUAGAUAACUCUUCCUAUUA
Molecule: transfer RNA, 64 nt
Filed under: Venustaconcha ellipsiformis
Lineage: Eukaryota; Metazoa; Mollusca; Bivalvia; Unionida; Unionidae
Description: tRNA-Met
Source: RNAcentral